CCCUUAGAUGUCCUGGGCCGCACGCGCGCUACACUGAUGCAUGCAGCGAGUUUAUAACCUUGGCCUGAAAGGUCUGGGUAAUCUUUUGAACGUGCAUCGUGAUAGGGAUAGAUUAUUGCAAUUGUUAAUCUUGAACGAGGAAUUCCUAGUAAACGCGAGUCAUCAGCUCGCAUUGAUUACGUCCCUGCCCUUUGUACACACCGUCCGUCGCACCUACCGAUUGAAUGGUUCGGUGAAGAUCUCGGACUUCGAUAUUUAUUCUUUAUUGAGUUUAUAUUGUGGGAAGUUAUCUAAACCUCAUCAUUUAGAGGAAGGUGAAGUCGUAACA
This 328-nucleotide ribosomal RNA is filed under the name uncultured eukaryote. RNAcentral's name for it is "partial 18S ribosomal RNA". It matches the Rfam family "Eukaryotic small subunit ribosomal RNA", at positions 1470 to 1796 of the family's 1831-position model. The record is from RNAcentral.